UACGUAGGGUGCGAGCGUUAAUCGGAAUUACUGGGCGUAAAGCGUGCGUAGACGGUUAUUUAAGUCGGGUGUGAAAGCCCCGGGCUCAACCUGGGAAUUGCAUUCGAGUCUGAAUAGCUAGGGUACGGUAGAGGGAAGUGGAAUUUCCGGUGUAGCGGUGAAAUGCGUAGAUAUCGGAAGGAACAUCAGUGGCGAAAGCGACUUCCUGGACCAGUACCGACGUUCAGGCACGAAAGCGUGGGGAGCAAACAGG
This 253-nucleotide ribosomal RNA is filed under the name uncultured bacterium. RNAcentral's name for it is "partial 16S ribosomal RNA". It matches the Rfam family "Bacterial small subunit ribosomal RNA", at positions 524 to 776 of the family's 1533-position model. The record is from RNAcentral.